Molecule: ribosomal RNA, 472 nt
Filed under: Streptococcus mutans
Lineage: Bacteria; Bacillati; Bacillota; Bacilli; Lactobacillales; Streptococcaceae
Description: bacterial SSU rRNA
Rfam family: Bacterial small subunit ribosomal RNA
Source: RNAcentral
GACGAACGCGGGCGGCGUGCUUAAUACAUGCAAGUGGGACGCAAGGGAACACACUGUGCUUGCACACCGUGUUUUCUUGAGUCGCGAACGGGUGAGUAACGCGUAGGUAACCUGCCUAUUAGCGGGGGAUAACUAUUGGAAACGAUAGCUAAUACCGCAUAAUAUUAAUUAUUGCAUGAUAAUUGAUUGAAAGAUGCAAGCGCAUCACUAGUAGGUGGACCUGCGUUGUAUUAGCUAGUUGGUAAGGUAAGAGCUUACCAAGGCGACGAUACAUAGCCGACCUGAGAGGGUGAUCGGCCACACUGGGACCGAGACACGGCCCAGACUCCUACGGGAGGCAGCAGUAGGGAAUCUUCGGCAAUGGACGAAAGUCUGACCGAGCAACGCCGCGUGAGUGAAGAAGGUUUUCGGAUCGUAAAGCUCUGUUGUAAGUCAAGAACGUGUGUGAGAGUGGAAAGUUCACACAGUACGG